CGUUUAAGUUUGUUUGCUGCAAUAAUUAGAAAAUAUUUAGCAUUUAGAAUAAAAUGUAAACUCAAAACGUGAAAACAAAUGCAUCCCUACGCACACCGAUCGCGCACAACCCUGCGCGAAGAUUGCUCAUUUCACCCGUCAACCAACAAACAAGUGGCUGUCUCGUUCAGUCAAUCUAUGCUGCGAAUUCUCACUUACUCACCUUGGCAAAUAGGAGAGCCUUUGCUCAGAGAAUACACACGUACGGCGAUGCAAAGGGAGGCAAGCAAAAUCAGACCAUCGGACCGCUGCUAGAGCGGAGAGCUUUACGUUCAUCAUUCGCUCAUUCUCACCCAUCAUAAGACUCAUCGAAGGGGUGAGCAUACGAUUGCGACCAAGAGCAUGAUUAGUUUUACCCAGUUCGCGCACAACGCUGCACGCUAUAGACCGUCGCCGGUCAGUGUCAUCCGGGUCGUAGGGACGCCAAUUAAAGAUACGGCAGAAAAUUGUCUGGUCCGCGAGAAAAGCAUUCGCUUUGCCGAAUUUUCAGCAGUAAAAUCACUGAAGGCAAGGGAAAAUCACGGUCUGGAGUGUGGACGCUAGCGCCGCCAUCUUGCAAGGGAGCCGGCAAAGAAUACCCGGUGCAGACAAUAAUUUUAUCCUGCUCAUUGGGCAACUAGCCACAGCUGAACAGUUUGACAUCCACGAGAAAGCAAGGCCACCGUGCGAUUCAUCAAACCGUGAGAGAAGUUUUCGGAACAAAUCACGUGGCGGAUUGCUUAGACCAAGAACAAAAGCCUUCCAUCGGAAGUAAGUUUCCCGCCAUGCUUGAGCACCUGCAAUGAGGCUGAUCGCUUUGCAUCGCAGGGUUUUUGUUUUAUAUUGCAGAUUCUCGUCAGCAAGUAAGUCACGUCGUCCCCUACGGUCAAGAAUCCGAGACGGUCAUCACACUUUUAUAGCAGCUGGAGCACAGUUUCGGAAGCAGCAUGUGGCUGGGUGAGCCAACAACGGACAAUUGAACCGGGACGCUGUGUAAUAGGCCGCGAAGGCGUGUGCGUAAGCGAAGACGUCGGGAGAGGAAGAAUGGAAAUGAGCGGUAUUGUUUAUUCGUAGAGGGGCGCCCCGGAAGAAAGCAGUGAGUAAAACAAAAUAUGUGCGUAAAGUGUAAGAACAGAGUAGAGAAGGGAGCGAGAUGCAGUUGAAUAGGAAAUAGAAAGGAGGAGAGUAGAGAAAAGAAGGAAAAUGAAGGUGAAAUUGAGUUUGAGGAGAGGGGCGAAGCAGCGCCAAUAAAGUUUUAUGUUGAAUAUGAAGAUUUGUUGUGUUUUCAGUUUUGUGAGCGCAUUUUCUGAGCUUUCCGGGACUGCUCGAGGUUUUUGAUUCCCCCUCGACA
Long non-coding RNA from Topomyia yanbarensis, 1369 nucleotides. RefSeq lists it as uncharacterized. The record is from RefSeq and is a predicted model, not a curated record. Lineage: Eukaryota; Metazoa; Arthropoda; Insecta; Diptera; Culicidae. The transcript is spliced from 3 exons.